GCCGGGCAUGGUGGCGCACGCCUGUAAUCCCAGCUACUUAGGAGGCUGAAGCAGGAGAAUCACUUGAACCCAGGAGGCGGAGGUUGCAGUGAGCCGAGAUCACACUACUGCACUCCAGCCUGGGCACCAGAGUGAGACUCUGUUUCAA
Molecule: non-coding RNA, 148 nt
Filed under: Gorilla gorilla gorilla (western lowland gorilla)
Lineage: Eukaryota; Metazoa; Chordata; Mammalia; Primates; Hominidae
Source: Rfam by way of RNAcentral